AGCAGCCGCAGUAAUUCCAGCUCCAAUAGCGUAUACUAAAGUUGUUGCAGUUAAAAAGCUCGUAGUUGAAUUUCGGAAUCAGUACGCCAGUCAUGCUUCGGUAUGUACUAGUGUCACUGAUUCCUUCCUUCUGACGAACCGUCAUGCCAUUAAUUUAGUGUGAUGUGGAAUCAGGACUGUUACUUUGAAAAAUUAGAGUGUUUAAAGAAGGCUCGCGCUUGAAUACAUUAGCAUGGAAUAAUGAAAUAGGACGUUUGAUCUUAUUUUGUUGGUUUCUAGGAUCGAUGUAAUGAUUAAUAGGGAUAGUUGGGGGCAUUAGUAUUCAAUUGUCAGAGGUGAAAUUCUUGGAUUUAUUGAAGACUAACUACUGCGAAAGCAUUUGCCAAGGAUGUUUUCAUUAAUCAAGAACGAAAGUUAGAGGAUCGAAGACAAUCA
Molecule: ribosomal RNA, 435 nt
Filed under: uncultured Glomus
Lineage: Eukaryota; Fungi; Glomeromycota; Glomeromycetes; Glomerales; Glomeraceae
Description: bacterial SSU rRNA
Rfam family: Eukaryotic small subunit ribosomal RNA
Source: RNAcentral